ACUGAGUUAUUUCCUCGUGGAUGAUUAUUAUUUCAGUUUCCUCCCCAGUUAAUUAUCUGGAUCGAACCACUCCCCUUGAGUUAUAUCCUUAUUUGGGUUGAGUCCUUGUUUGACCAUUUUUUUCUAGCUCUUACCUAGAUAGAUAUCUUGGUCUCCUGGGAGUCUAUUACCCAGUAAUUGGUAAUUCUCUUCUCGUUUU
RNAcentral lists this long non-coding RNA (199 nucleotides) under Lathyrus oleraceus (garden pea). Its description in RNAcentral is "Pisum sativum (pea) long non-coding RNA (PSAT_LNC014842)". Lineage: Eukaryota; Viridiplantae; Streptophyta; Magnoliopsida; Fabales; Fabaceae. The record is from RNAcentral.